Molecule: small RNA, 272 nt
Filed under: Arabidopsis thaliana (thale cress)
Lineage: Eukaryota; Viridiplantae; Streptophyta; Magnoliopsida; Brassicales; Brassicaceae
Description: ATSL194080
Source: RNAcentral
UCCAUCACACACAUAUAUAUAUAUAUAUAUAUAUAUAUAUGUGGAUGUAGGUGUGAGACAAGACACAAAGAGAGUUCUAGAGAGAAAGAGAAGAAACGAGAGUUUAUUCUUCAAGAAGCUUUCUCCUUCUUUGUUCUUUGUGUUUGAUCUUUGUUCUUCUUGAGAUUGUACCUGAAACCAAAGACAACAUCACAAGUCAAGUGGUGUUUGUAAUCUCUUUGAUAUAGUGAAGCUUUGGGAGCAAGAGAUCUCUCCUCAGACAUAGCGGUUAA